RNAcentral lists this transfer RNA (72 nucleotides) under Phrynosoma platyrhinos (Desert horned lizard). RNAcentral's name for it is "tRNA-OTHER". The record is from RNAcentral. Lineage: Eukaryota; Metazoa; Chordata; Lepidosauria; Squamata; Phrynosomatidae.
UGUGGCGUGAUGUAGUGGUUUGAGCAUUGGACUAGGAUUCUGGAGACCUGGGUUCAAAUCCCUGCUCAACCA